Molecule: long non-coding RNA, 861 nt
Organism: Pezoporus flaviventris
Lineage: Eukaryota; Metazoa; Chordata; Aves; Psittaciformes; Psittacidae
Exons: 2
Source: RefSeq, a predicted model, not a curated record
AAAAAAAGGAAGGAAAAAUCCCCAAAUAGAAGAUGCUGAAUUUUCAGCUCCAUGCCCCUGUCUGUUGUUGCUUAUAGAAACAUGAGGAGGUAGCAGAUACAAGGCAGGAGUGUUUGACAGCAUGGAAGGCCGUGUGUUUGGAAUCACUAAAAAACCAUCUCCAGUGGUCAUACAGUUAAGACUAGGAGAUCCCAAGAAGGGCAGCCUUGGGUGGUUUGCUAAAGAGUAUUGCUGGAUCAGUUCCCUGCAGAACCAGAGGAGCAUCUCACUGCUGAGGUUCACUACAAGGAUCGCUGUUUAGUUCUCCCUCCAAGCAUUCUGUGAUGGGAGGAUUUGCUAAGCUUGUGUGUACUUCAGGGCCAGGUCAGGCUGUGUGUUAUUCACUCUCAUUAGUUCAUUCUCUUUAUGUUCUUGUGACCCAGAUGAAUUUAAGAGGGAUCUGAGCAGUGUGUUCAGUUUUCUUGUGUUUGUUUCUCAUACUUUUGCCUAUCUGAAUCCAGUUCUUUGCACCAUGAUGCAGUCUCUAAUUAGAAUUGAAACCAUACAAACUGCCUCCUCAAACUCUUGUCUCAUUCCGUGAAUGGUUUGUUUUCAGAUUCUGCUUUUAUCCUUGUUAUUUGAUGUUUGCUUACAUAUUUUAUUGCAUAUAAUUCAAGUGCUGCAGUAAAUACAGAAUUACUAAUGGUAAUAGAUUUUCAUUAUGCUUUUCAUUAUAGCAUUUGAAUACUUUUUAACCACCAUAAAUGUAUCUUCACAACAUUGCAAAGAGAUUUUCCUCUCGUUUCACUGAUGCAGAGCUGUCAAAGUUCUCCACUGCAUCUGUCUGUUCCACCGUGACAAUAAACAGAUUCCCAACUUGCC